CUUGCUUCUCUUGAGAGCGGCGGACGGGUGAGUAAUGCCUAGGAAUCUGCCUGGUAGUGGGGGAUAACGUCCGGAAACGGACGCUAAUACCGCAUACGUCCUACGGGAGAAAGCAGGGGACCUUCGGGCCUUGCGCUAUCAGAUGAGCCUAGGUCGGAUUAGCUAGUUGGUGGGGUAAUGGCUCACCAAGGCGACGAUCCGUAACUGGUCUGAGAGGAUGAUCAGUCACACUGGAACUGAGACACGGUCCAGACUCCUACGGGAGGCAGCAGUGGGGAAUAUUGGACAAUGGGCGAAAGCCUGAUCCAGCCAUGCCGCGUGUGUGAAGAAGGUCUUCGGAUUGUAAAGCACUUUAAGUUGGGAGGAAGGGCAGUAAAUUAAUACUUUGCUGUUUUGACGUUACCGACAGAAUAAGCACCGGCUAACUCUGUGCCAGCAGCCGCGGUAAUACAGAGGGUGCAAGCGUUAAUCGGAAUUACUGGGCGUAAAGCGCGCGUAGGUGGUUCGUUAAGUUGGAUGUGAAAUCCCCGGGCUCAACCUGGGAACUGCAUUCAAAACUGACGAGCUAGAGUAUGGUAGAGGGUGGUGGAAUUUCCUGUGUAGCGGUGA
Molecule: ribosomal RNA, 609 nt
Filed under: uncultured bacterium
Lineage: Bacteria
Description: bacterial SSU rRNA
Rfam family: Bacterial small subunit ribosomal RNA
Source: RNAcentral